GGUAUUCUGAAUGUGUGUCAGGACUCUGUAAGCAGUUUUAAACUAUUAAUAUCUGAGCUCCUCUCUAACCAGCAGCGACAGGCCCAUUUAGAUAACUGCAUUUAUGAUUAGUAAGACACUGAAUAAUUGCUGUACAUCAGAAAUAUAACUUGUAAACCGAAUUCAGAUAACUUUCUAAGUUCUGUCUUGAGUUGUAUUUAACGAACAUCUCCUGGAAUGAGUUUAGUAAAGUGUUGAAUUAAUGCAGAGUUCAGCCAGCAGGUUUCCCCACCAAGUACAAGCGUAUUGCAGGGAUUUGCUAUGCUGUGCAUAGUGUUUAAACAGUUUGCUUAGUUAGCUUUUUAUUUCUGCACAACUAGAGUUGUUCAGUGUGUCUAUAAAUAGUUUGACAUGUAAUGGCUCAAUGAAACUUGACGUCUCCACAGUAGGACUAGCGAAGCCUUAAAGCUGCACUGGUCUACAUUUUUUUCUUUUGUUAACAAUGGAUCAAAUGACUGUUUCAGAAUCUUUCAGCUCAUUGUUUUAGUUUUAUGGCCCACAACUUUAUUGUUUUGGUUCACUCUCACAGCUCUCAUCAACCUCUAUUUCUACCAGAAACCUCUUCCAUGUGUACGCUCCCUGCCCAACACCAAACAACAGACAUAGUUAGCAAAAAUCUUGUGAACGUAGAGGAGCAAUUAGCAGCUGAAGAGCCAAAAACUGUAUAUCUCUCAGGAUUUGUUUAAUACCAAUACAUCAGGUGUCCAGAAACAAGGAUCCAUAUGGAUGCUAAUGUCUGCUGGACAUAUAAAUUGGCAACUGAAAAAUAAGUUACUGUAGCGUUAAAGAGAAGGGCCAGCUGUUAACUGUACAGCACAUCCCAUAUGUUUUGGGAGACUCCCUCAUAAUUAGAUAAACUAUGUUAAUUAGUCCCCGUCUGAGAAAACCCACACAAACACAGAAAGAACCAUGAGCUGCUAUGAGAUGACAAUGCUAACAGUGUAGCUGUUACUGAUCGGUAGUCUUGCAAAAGCCAUCUGGUGUUUUUGCUGGAUUUAUUUACUUUACCUUUUAAUCCAAUAUGAUUAUUUGUAUAACUAUUUAGGAAUGUACAAAUGGUUUUGCAUGUUUAAGCACAGUAGCUACAUAUCAUGCACUAAUUACAUGAUAAUAAAUUGCACAUACUUUACAUUGUUGACCAUUUUCCAAAGCAAAUCGUCAGUGUUUGGAUUAGUUUCCUUUAGUCCUGUCAGCCAGGGCUCAGUUCAUCCAUCUCAACUGAUUAGACUUUAUUGGUGAUCCGGCUCUGCCAUUUCCUCCAUCAGAAGCUUAAAGUGACAGGGAUGAGGUUUGUGCUCUGAGUGCUUUCUGGUCUUUGUUUUUCUCUCCAAAUGUAAAUGAUGCUGCCACCUGAAGUUCUCACCAAUGGAUGAUAAAGAAGUACUUGUAAUGUCUGUCACCACAAAAACAUAGAGGGUAUGUGUCUGUCUUUAGCCCCCCCCAACUCUCCCUGUACAUGUUCCCCUCCCACUCUCCCUCCUCUCCCUCUCCCUCUCUCUCUCUCUGUGAAUGCCACAGGCCUCUCACCCCUCAGUCCAGAUUUAGAUCUCAGUCUUUCCCAGACAUUCAGACCCAGCUCGCUGAAGCUGGCCGGUAGCGCACAGAUUCCCUUGCCUCCAUCGUUCUUUGCAUCCAGUACCUCCUUCUUUCCUUCCUCUUCACCAUGACUGGACUCUUUUAUCACUUCUUUAUCUGACAUGGGAGCAGAGCCUGCCAGAUGUCUGAGUUGGACAGCGGGUCGAGGGUUGUAGUCCAGGAUUUUUCUAGUCGGUCUGGUUCCACAGAGGCAGACCUCCUGCUCCUCUUCCCCAGCCAUGGAGCCACAUGCAGAGGUCCCGUUAUUUGAGAUGGACCAGGAAGAGGAUGAGAAAGAGGAUGUUCUCUCAAUGAAGAGCAGAGCAGGCACAGACCCUGACACGUUCAUAUACAUGAACUUCAUGAAGAGUCACUGUUGCUAUGAUGCCAUCCCUACCAGCUCCAAACUGGUCAUUUUUGACACAACACUACAAGUGAAGAAGGCUUUCUUUGCUCUGGUGGCUAACGGUGUGAGGGCAGCGCCACUGUGGGACAACAAGCUUAAGUGUUUUGUGGGUAUGCUGACCAUCACUGACUUCAUCAACAUUCUCCAUCGUUAUUACAAGUCUCCUCUGGUUCAGAUCUAUGAGCUGGAAGAACACAAGAUAGAGACAUGGAGAGAGAUCUAUCUACAGUACUCUAUCAACAGACUGAUCAGCAUCACCCCUGACUGCAGUCUGUUUGAUGCCAUCUACUCCUUGUUGAAGAAUAAGAUACACCGGCUGCCAGUCAUUGACCCGGCAUCAGGAAAUGUCCUCCACAUCCUCACUCACAAACGCAUCCUCAAGUUCCUCCACAUCUUUGGAUCUAUGAUUCCUAAACCCAGGUUUCUUCAAAAGCGGAUCAGUGAAGUGGCGAUCGGUACCUUCAAACAGAUUGCGACAGUCCAGGAAUCAGCCUCUGUCUAUGAUGCUCUGACAAUUUUUGUAGAGAGAAGAGUGUCUGCGCUGCCUGUAGUCAAUGAGCAAGGUAAAGUCGUGGCGCUGUACUCCAGGUUUGAUGUCAUUAACCUUGCAGCCCAGAAAAUCUACAACAACCUGAACAUGACAAUGCAGGAGGCCAUUGCCUCCAGAGCCUGCUGUGUGGAGGGAGUUCUCAAGUGUUACCCUCACGAAACACUGGAGACCAUCAUCGACCGCAUCGCAAAGGCUGAAGUGCAUCGUUUGGUGUUGGUUGACAGGGACGAUGUGGUGAGAGGGAUUGUCUCUCUCUCUGACCUUCUACAAGCCCUGGUUCUCACUCCUGCAGGUAUUGAUGCACUGUACUCCUAACUCCAACCCUUCCAUUCAUCCCUUACUCUUUCUGUCAGUCGCCCGGUAAUCCAUCCGUCAACUUAUCUGCCUUCAAAUCCUCGAAAGCUUCCUGCUGCUUCUGGCGAGCUAUGCUCCUUCUCCUCCUGUGAACGCUCACGUUCCUACUGACCAAACUUUAUCUUCAACUUUUCAUCUUCCUGAAGAAAAUGAGGGUCUUUCUUCUCUUCCUGUGAUAUUUUCUGGUAUCAGAGUUCCAACUCUGCUAAUUUCCUCCCUCUCUGAAAUCUUCUUAGCCUUUCAGCUGCCCACCUUGUACUCCAACCAAGAAUAAUUUUUAACAAACAACACCCUUCAGGGAUUCAUCUGAAGCCCCCUUGCUCCUUAAAGAUCAACCUCUGAAAUAUUCUCUUAGACCUUGCUGUGAUCAACUAACCACCUCCUCUAAAAUCUUCUGCUCCUUCAAAAUCAGCCAACCACGUCUUCCGGAACCUCAUGCUCCUACCAACGACCUUACAUUUCCUCUAUAACUUUAAUUUGAAGCAUCAAACAAAAUGUUCCCAGAGCCUGCUCUGAUACAUCCUGCCCCUGCAAAACAAACAAAAGCCCUCUCGAAACCCGCAGCCCAGCCAAAAUCAACAAGGCACCUUUUGCUUUCACUAUUGAGUAAUAAAUCUUCCAAUCCAACUUCAAAACCAGUUCAGUCACCUGUGAUCCUACCUACCAACCAAGCAGUUUCUACAGUUUCUACACCAACCCUCCACACCUUCUCCCAAACAUCCCUCUUUCAUCAGUCAGCCACCGUCUUCAUGUUGCAGUUCCUCCUCUGAAACCACCAUGCCACCGGCACCUCUUAGCCAACACGCCCCAGAUAUUUAUGAGGAAUCGUGCUGUCAAGACUGAAGAAAACAGGAUCGAGACUGAUCACGUUAAACAAGACUAUGAGGUGGCAGAGUAAAUUAGAGGUCAGCAGAGCAGGGUUGUGGCUGAGAAGUCACUAGUUUCAAUCCCAGUCGAGAAGAAAAAAUAUGAUAUGGAAAGAAUAAAGUAAAAGUGGAAACACUUUUACCAAUAAUGUGCCCUUCAAUAGAAGACUGUGGCUGUGCUGGGAAACUGACAGUAUUGAACUGGAAAACAGCAUCGAACCGAUGAUGCACAUCCAGAGACUUUUAAACUGAUUAUGACUAAAGCAUCAAAUUUGAGGUUAUUUUCCAAUCUGUGUGGAAAUUGAGUUGUUGACACCACCAUGAUUUAAAAAAAAAGUGAUGUUAUGUUUAAUGGUUUAUGUGAAGGAAUUUUCUUUAGAGGACCCUAAUGUGGGUUUCAGGUGAGGUUGAGGUCACACACAUGUCAUGCUUGGGGUCACUUGCAAACCUAGAAAUGAAACGACCUCUGUGUCUCUAACAUUAGUUAAUUUUGCUGUCUCCUGCAGUAGACCCAUAACGACAGUGGUGUAGAUAGAAGAUCUGUUGCUUAGACACUCAAAGACAGUUGAUUGCAUUCUCUGUCUCAGGCGUAGAUGUAACAGACUGUCUCCUCUUAAAAUGUAAUACAUGUGACCUCCUAAUUCCAACUUGACUUAGGUAAGCAUUUAGUCUGGAAAUGGAUAACCUUGUAGGAGAACAAGGUUAGUAAAGGAUAAAUAUUGUGGAUUAGGAAGAGAAACUUCAGACUUUGUUUUGGCACUGCACUGGGUUUCACCUUGUACUGCUGAUAUCAUUGUCUCCUCAGCCAAAGCUCAUUAAACAUUGCUAUGUAAGACA
Molecule: RNA transcript, 4627 nt
Organism: Siniperca chuatsi (mandarin fish)
Lineage: Eukaryota; Metazoa; Chordata; Actinopteri; Centrarchiformes; Sinipercidae
Gene: prkag3b
Gene name: protein kinase, AMP-activated, gamma 3b non-catalytic subunit
Exons: 13
Source: RefSeq, a predicted model, not a curated record